UACGGAGGAUGCGAGCGUUAUCCGGAUUUAUUGGGUUUAAAGGGUGCGUAGGCGGGCUUUUAAGUCAGCGGUAAAAAUUCGGGGCUCAACCCCGUCCGGCCGUUGAAACUGGGGGUCUUGAGUGGGCGAGAAGAAGGCGGUAUGCGUGGUGUAGCGGUGAAAUGCAUAGAUAUCACGCAGAACCCCGAUUGCGAAGGCAGCCUUCCGGCGCCCUACUGACGCUGAGGCACGAAAGUGCGGGGAUCGAACAGG
RNAcentral lists this ribosomal RNA (252 nucleotides) under uncultured bacterium. RNAcentral describes it as "partial 16S ribosomal RNA". It matches the Rfam family "Bacterial small subunit ribosomal RNA", at positions 524 to 776 of the family's 1533-position model. The record is from RNAcentral.